This 21-nucleotide microRNA is filed under the name Ornithorhynchus anatinus (platypus). RNAcentral's name for it is "oan-miR-7411-3p". Lineage: Eukaryota; Metazoa; Chordata; Mammalia; Monotremata; Ornithorhynchidae. The record is from miRBase by way of RNAcentral.
GAGAUAUAGAUGUAUCGGCUA